AUACGGAGGAUCCGAGCGUUAUCCGGAUUUAUUGGGUUUAAAGGGUGCGCAGGCGGCCAUUUAAGUCAGCGGUUAAAUCGUGGGGCUCAACCCCAUUCUGCCGUUGAUACUGGGUGGCUUGAUUGCGGUCGAGGUUGGCGGAAUUCGUUGUGUAGCGGUGAAAUGCAUAGAUAUGACGAAGAACACCGAUUGCGUAGGCAGCUGACCAGAUCGCAAAUGACGCUCAUGCACGAAAGUGCGGGGAUCGAACAGGAUUAGAUACCCUGGUAGUCCGCACAGUAAACGAUGAAUACUUGUUUUCGGCGAUAUAAUGUCGGAGGCAAAGCGAAAGCGAUAAGUAUUCCACCUGGGGAGUACGCCGGCAACAGUGAAACUCAAAGGAAUUGACGGGG
This 392-nucleotide ribosomal RNA is filed under the name uncultured bacterium. RNAcentral describes it as "partial 16S ribosomal RNA". It matches the Rfam family "Bacterial small subunit ribosomal RNA", at positions 523 to 918 of the family's 1533-position model. The record is from RNAcentral.